CCUACGGGCGACAGCAGUGGGGAAUAUUGGGCAAUGGGCGCAAGCCUGACCCAGCAACGCCGCGUGAAGGAAGAAGGCUUUCGGGUUGUAAACUUCUUUUGUCAGGGACGAAGCAAGUGACGGUACCUGCCGAAUAAGCCACGGCUAACUACGUGCCAGCAGCCGCGGUAAUACGUAGGUGGCAUGCGUUAUCCGGAUUUACUGGGUGUAAAGGUCGUGUAGGCGGGACUGCAAGUCAGAUGUGAAAACCACGGGCUCAACCUGUGGACUGCAUUUGAAACUGUAGUGCUUGAGUACUGGAGAGGGAGAGAGAAUUCCUAGUGUAGCGGUGAAAUGCGUAGAUAUUAGGAGGAACACCAGUGGCGAAGGCGGUCUGCUGGACAGCAACUGACGCUGAGGCGCGAAAGCGUGGGGAGCAAACAGGAUUAGAUACCCGUGUAGUC
RNAcentral lists this ribosomal RNA (443 nucleotides) under uncultured bacterium. RNAcentral's name for it is "partial 16S ribosomal RNA". It matches the Rfam family "Bacterial small subunit ribosomal RNA", at positions 338 to 795 of the family's 1533-position model. The record is from RNAcentral.